AUGACAAAUAGAGAGCAAGAAGAGAAAAGUACACCUGGGGAGGUAGGGACAGGGACAGGGGAGAGAAGGAGAGAGGCAGCCUCCAUAAAAGAAGCAGUUUCCAGAAACAGAAGCUUGAGACAUUUCCAGUAUACGUCCUUUGCUGAGAAUCAACACUACCCUUAAAUCUGAGUUAUCCCAUGAACCCUUUUAUCUGUUUUUUGUUCAAGCUGACUGAAGUUGUUUUAUGUUAAUUGCAGCCAAAUAUUCCUGAAUCAUGGGAUGAGAGAGAGAGAAAGAGAAUUGUAUAAGAAACCAGAGAGAAAUAAAGUACUAAUUUGAUGCUGACUUAACUGGCAGCCUUUACAAAAGAAAGAAAAAUAAUAGACCGGAUAAUACUUCUCACCUCAUACAAGGCAGAAAGAUGUUUUGGGAGAAGUAGAGAAUUCAAGACAACAUUUGAGUAAGCAUGUGAAAAUGCCUCUCAAUUCUUUCAGGUCAUCAUUUGCUGGCCCUGGUCCUUUACUUUGCUGUCUUGUUUAUAGAGUUAUUCCCUCUAGUACGAAAUAUGAAGCCCUCUACAAGUCAUAGUGGAUUUGGAAUAAAACUCUUGGAUUCAAUUCUUUGCUCCUAACAAUCUGGUUGAUUUUGGACAGAUUAUUUAACUGGCCUCUGUUUAUUCAAAUGGAAAAUGGGGAGAAUAAUCUAUUUUCUUUAGCUAUUAUGAGAAUGAAAUAGACAAUACAUAGAUAGCAGUGUUCAUGGAAAGAUUAAUAUAUAAAUAUCAAACUGCAUUUGCUCAAUUAGUAUUAGCUAUUAUCAGGAGUAUGUUAGCAUCAGGAAUAGCUAAUCUUAUCUUUUAUUAAGGUGAUAUGAAUCAAUCAGAGACAAGACUGGAAACAAAUGGGGAAAUUGAGGAAAGUUAUAACAAAGGGAGUAUUUACAAAGAUAUCUGAGGUUGAGGGAAAUCCACAGGGAGGAUGAAGCAGCCUGGUGCUAACUACAGCAUAAAGUUGUUACCAGCCUAGGUUUAAAUGAGCAAGAUAAGACAGUGGCUACAGAAAGUCAGAACUGUAGGAUAGGACUAACUGGCAAGAGUUAUGGCCUUUGGAAGAGGAAACAAGCCACUGCCAAAACACAUUCGGCAGGGAGACGACCAAGGGAAUUAAUAGGUGACCUCACUCUCCUCCCACCCUCUGAGCAUCAGCUGAUGCCCCCAUGGGCUGAACCCAACUCAAAGUCAGAGGACAAAGGAGACUGGAUGAAGGCUACAAAAGUCAUCCUCUCGAGGAAGAGAACAGGGUGUAUAAUGGGGAAGAAUGGAUCUGGAGGUGCCAAAGGCAUCUAUCCAGCCCAGCUACCUGAUUUGUUCCUCAGCAUCCACCCCUGUCAUUUUCCCCAGUGAAAAUCAUAUGAGCGUAACAAAGAGAACCACAAAAUCCAUUCAGCAGUCAUCAUGAGUGAUGUUAAUUUUGGC
RNAcentral lists this long non-coding RNA (1456 nucleotides) under Equus caballus (horse). RNAcentral's name for it is "lncRNA (ENSECAG00000036377.3)". The record is from RNAcentral. Lineage: Eukaryota; Metazoa; Chordata; Mammalia; Perissodactyla; Equidae.